Molecule: ribosomal RNA, 1462 nt
Filed under: Bacillus licheniformis
Lineage: Bacteria; Bacillati; Bacillota; Bacilli; Caryophanales; Bacillaceae
Description: bacterial SSU rRNA
Rfam family: Bacterial small subunit ribosomal RNA
Source: RNAcentral
CCUAUACAUGCAAGUCGAGCGGACCGACGGGAGCUUGCUCCCUUAGGUCAGCGGCGGACGGGUGAGUAACACGUGGGUAACCUGCCUGUAAGACUGGGAUAACUCCGGGAAACCGGGGCUAAUACCGGAUGCUUGAUUGAACCGCAUGGUUCAAUCAUAAAAGGUGGCUUUUAGCUACCACUUACAGAUGGACCCGCGGCGCAAUAGCUAGUUGGUGAGGUAACGGCUCACCAAGGCGACYAUGCGUAGCCCACCUGAGAGGGUGAUCGGCCACACUGGGACUGAGACACGGCCCAGACUCCUACGGGAGGCAGCAGUAGGGAAUCUUCCGCAAUGGACGAAAGUCUGACGGAGCAACGCCCCGUGAGUGAUGAAGGUUUUCGGAUCGUAAAACUCUGUUGUUAGGGAAGAACAAGUACCGUUCGAAUAGGGCGGUACCUUGACGGUACCUAACCAGAAAGCCACGGCUAACUACGUGCCAGCAGCCGCGGUAAUACGUAGGUGGCAAGCGUUGUCCGGAAUUAUUGGGCGUAAAGCGCGCGCAGGCGGUUUCUUAAGUCUGAUGUGAAAGCCCCCGGCUCAACCGGGGAGGGUCAUUGGAAACUGGGGAACUUGAGUGCAGAAGAGGAGAGUGGAAUUCCACGUGUAGCGGUGAAAUGCGUAGAGAUGUGGAGGAACACCAGUGGCGAAGGCGACUCUCUGGUCUGUAACUGACGCUGAGGCGCGAAAGCGUGGGGAGCGAACAGGAUUAGAUACCCUGGUAGUCCACGCCGUAAACGAUGAGUGCUAAGUGUUAGAGGGUUUCCGCCCUUUAGUGCUGCAGCAAACGCAUUAAGCACUCCGCCUGGGGAGUACGGUCGCAAGACUGAAACUCAAAGGAAUUGACGGGGGGCCCGCACAAGCGGUGGAAGCAUGUGGUUUAAUUCGAAGCAACGCGAAGAACCUUACCAGGUCUUGACAUCCUCUGACAACCCUAGAGAUAGGGCUUCCCCUUCGGGGGCAGAGUGACAGGUGGUGCAUGGUUGUCGUCAGCUCGUGUCGUGAGAUGUUGGGUUAAGUCCCGCAACGAGCGCAACCCUUGAUCUUAGUUGCCAGCAUUCAGUUGGGCACUCUAAGGUGACUGCCGGUGACAAACCGGAGGAAGGUGGGGAUGACGUCAAAUCAUCAUGCCCCUUAUGACCUGGGCUACACACGUGCUACAAUGGGCAGAACAAAGGGCAGCGAAGCCGCGAGGCUAAGCCAAUCCCACAAAUCUGUUCUCAGUUCGGAUCGCAGUCUGCAACUCGACUGCGUGAAGCUGGAAUCGCUAGUAAUCGCGGAUCAGCAUGCCGCGGUGAAUACGUUCCCGGGCCUUGUACACACCGCCCGUCACACCACGAGAGUUUGUAACACCCGAAGUCGGUGAGGUAACCUUUUGGAGCCAGCCGCCGAAGGUGGGACAGAUGAUGGGGUAAGUCUAUAG